Alosa sapidissima (American shad) is the source of this 705-nucleotide long non-coding RNA. RefSeq lists it as uncharacterized. The transcript is spliced from 2 exons. Lineage: Eukaryota; Metazoa; Chordata; Actinopteri; Clupeiformes; Clupeidae. The record is from RefSeq and is a predicted model, not a curated record.
AAGUGAAAGUGAAAACCAGAGUGGGACAAGUGAAGAGGAAGUGAGCUUGCAUAAAUAGACAGACUCAAACACUCACAUGCAGAUCUCCAGCGAACAACACACAAGAGCGCAAUGGUGGCAUUUUAAGGAGAAGAAGACAGAAAGAGGGAACAGGUUUUUCAAGACUCCUCUAACUGCAGAUGAACCAAGAUAAAUAAACAAUAUUUUUCCCUUUCCUGGAAGGAGUGACGUCUAAAUCAAGUUAAUCCAAGGUCAGGACAGGACAGAAUGACUGGCACGACCACUGGCAUCAGCGACUGGGAUGGUAACGGAACCCAUAAUGCAGCUGGCCUUUGAUUGACAGCUGCAUAUUGAUUCCGUUUCCAUCACUCCUCGCAAAACGAGGACGUCAGGUGGUUGAUUGACAUGGCUUGGGUGGUGGAGUGUGUGUUGGAGACUCCAUCAUGGCUCUAACCUGAAGGAUACUGUUCUGGAAUGACACGUUUUCUCCCGGAUCGCCAGACUAAUGAUACGCCACCGGGAACUUCGUGUCAGCCAAGAAUGGCAUCCAUAUCCAUUAUCACAAAUUAUUUUGUGGUUUAUUGUUUGUCCAUUUUUGGCAUUAAGAUUACAUAUAUACCACAAUAUUGAAUGCUUGUAAUCUGGUGUACUGUACAGAUGUACAGUCUUUUAAAAUUAAAGUCAUUAUGUGUAACAACAAUUGAA